UACGUAGGGGGCAAGCGUUGUCCGGAUUUAUUGGGCGUAAAGCGCGUGUAGGCGGCUUAGCAAGUCGGGCGUGAAAGCCCUCGGCUCAACCGAGGAAGUGCACCCGAAACUGCUGAGCUUGAGUGCCGGAGAGGAUGGCGGAAUUCCCCAAGUAGAGGUGAAAUUCGUAGAUAUGGGGAGGAACACCGGUGGCGAAGGCGGCCAUCUGGACGGUAACUGACGCUGAGACGCGAAAGCGUGGGUAGCAAACAGG
This 253-nucleotide ribosomal RNA is filed under the name uncultured bacterium. Its description in RNAcentral is "partial 16S ribosomal RNA". It matches the Rfam family "Bacterial small subunit ribosomal RNA", at positions 524 to 776 of the family's 1533-position model. The record is from RNAcentral.